Molecule: unclassified non-coding RNA, 378 nt
Filed under: uncultured Parachlamydiaceae bacterium
Lineage: Bacteria; Pseudomonadati; Chlamydiota; Chlamydiia; Parachlamydiales; Parachlamydiaceae
Description: contains 16S-23S intergenic spacer region
Source: RNAcentral
UCCCGGUUAACCCGGGCAGUCUCACUAGAGUUCCCACCAUUACGUGUUGGCAACUAGUGAUAAGGGUUGCGCUCGUUGCGGGACUUAACCCAACACCUCACGGCACGAGCUGACGACAGCCAUGCAGCACCUGUGCAGCGGCCCCGAAGGGAAGCACCAUUUCUGAUGCGGUCCACUGCAUGUCAAGUCUGGGUAAGGUUCUUCGCGUUGCAUCGAAUUAAACCACAUACUCCACUGCUUGUGCGGGUCCCCGUCAAUUCUUUUGAGUUUCACCCUUGCGAGCGUACUCCCCAGGCGGUAUACUUAUCGCGUUAGCUACGGCACAACCGGGGUUGAGUCCAGUUACACCAAGUAUACAUCGUUUAGGGCAAGGACUAC